GACGAACGCUGGCGGCGUGCCUAAUACAUGCAAGUUGAGCGCUGAAGACUGGUACUUGUACCGGUUGGAUGAGCAGCGAACGGGUGAGUAACGCGUGGGUAACCUGCCCUAUAGAGGGGGAUAACUAGAGGAAACUUUAGCUAAUACCGCAUAAAAUCUAAUAACACAUGUUAUAAGAUUGAAAGUGCCAACUGGUACACUAUAGGAUGGACCCGCGUUGUAUUAGCUAGUUGGUGAGGUAAAGGCUCACCAAGGCGAUGAUACAUAGCCGACCUGAGAGGGUGAUCGGCCACACUGGGACUGAGACACGGCCCAGACUCCUACGGGAGGCAGCAGUAGGGAAUCUUCGGCAAUGGACGAAAGUCUGACCGAGCAACGCCGCGAGUGAAGAAGGUUUUCGGAUCGUAAAACUCUGUUGUAAGAGAAGAACACCAGUAAGAGUGGAAAGCUUACUGGCUGACGGUAUCUUACCAGAAAGCCACGGCUAACUACGUGCCAGCAGCCGCCGUAA
RNAcentral lists this ribosomal RNA (511 nucleotides) under uncultured bacterium. Its description in RNAcentral is "partial 16S ribosomal RNA". It matches the Rfam family "Bacterial small subunit ribosomal RNA", at positions 28 to 523 of the family's 1533-position model. The record is from RNAcentral.